RNAcentral lists this transfer RNA (71 nucleotides) under Marmota monax (woodchuck). RNAcentral describes it as "tRNA.Val". The stretch from base 6 to 64 matches the Rfam family "tRNA", at positions 6 to 65 of the family's 71-position model. From Rfam's summary of the family: Transfer RNA (tRNA) molecules are approximately 80 nucleotides in length. Their secondary structure includes four short double-helical elements and three loops (D, anti-codon, and T loops). The record is from RNAcentral. Lineage: Eukaryota; Metazoa; Chordata; Mammalia; Rodentia; Sciuridae.
GGGGAUGUAGCUCAGUGGUAGAGUGCUUGCCUAACGUGUGAGAUCCUAGGUUCAAUCCCUAGUAACACACA